UCUACCUGAACCGGUGCUACGGCCAUCUC
Molecule: non-coding RNA, 29 nt
Filed under: Homo sapiens (human)
Lineage: Eukaryota; Metazoa; Chordata; Mammalia; Primates; Hominidae
Source: RNAcentral